This 400-nucleotide unclassified non-coding RNA is filed under the name soil metagenome. RNAcentral's name for it is "partial contains 5.8S ribosomal RNA, internal transcribed spacer 2, and large subunit ribosomal RNA". The stretch from base 1 to 122 matches the Rfam family "5.8S ribosomal RNA", at positions 35 to 154 of the family's 154-position model. The record is from RNAcentral.
GAUGAAGAACGCAGCGAAAUGCGAUACUUGGUGUGAAUUGCAGAAUCCCGUGAACCAUCGAGUCUUUGAACGCAAGUUGCGCCUCAAGCCAUUAGGUUGAGGGCACGUCUGCCUGGGCGUCACAUAUCGUUGCCUGAUGCCAGUUUCCUCGUGAUGGGUGACUGUGCAGGGCGAAUGAUGGCUUCCCGUGAGCAUUGUUGCCUCAUGGUUGGUUGAAAAUUGAGGCCUUGGUAGGGGGCGCCGUGAUAGAUGGUGGUUGAGUGACGAACGAGACCCAAUCAUGUGAGACCCCUACCGAAUUUGGCCUUCAUGACCCACAUGCGUCUUUGGAACGCUCAUGACGAGACCUCAGGUCAGGCGGGGCUACCCGCUGAGUUUAAGCAUAUCAAUAAGCGGAGGA